AGAGCGAACGCUGGCGGCAGGCUUAACACAUGCAAGUCGAGCGGGCGUAGCAAUACGUCAGCGGCAGACGGGUGAGUAACGCGUGGGAACAUACCUUUUGGUUCGGAACAACACAGGGAAACUUGUGCUAAUACCGAAUAAGCCCUUACGGGGAAAGAUUUAUCGCCGAAAGAUUGGCCCGCGUCUGAUUAGCUUGUUGGUGAGGUAACGGCUCACCAAGGCGACGAUCAGUAGCUGGUCUGAGAGGAUGAUCAGCCACAUUGGGACUGAGACACGGCCCAAACUCCUACGGGAGGCAGCAGUGGGGAAUAUUGGACAAUGGGCGCAAGCCUGAUCCAGCCAUGCCGCGUGAGUGAUGAAGGCCCUAGGGUUGUAAAGCUCUUUUGUGCGGGAAGAUAAUGACGGUACCGCAAGAAUAAGCCCCGGCUAACUUCGUGCCAGCAGCCGC
This 448-nucleotide ribosomal RNA is filed under the name uncultured bacterium. Its description in RNAcentral is "SSU rRNA". It matches the Rfam family "Bacterial small subunit ribosomal RNA", at positions 26 to 518 of the family's 1533-position model. The record is from RNAcentral.